Molecule: long non-coding RNA, 488 nt
Filed under: Malus domestica (apple)
Lineage: Eukaryota; Viridiplantae; Streptophyta; Magnoliopsida; Rosales; Rosaceae
Description: long non-coding RNA (MDOM_LNC009318)
Source: RNAcentral
ACUCAUGGUUGGGAUAAUGCAAAGUAGUCAUUUGACCUGAGGCAUCAUAGUUGUCUUGUGGUUAAGUCAUUGAUCUUUGAUUAUGUCAAAGUCACCCCAUCCGCGAUGUCCACGGCAUCGUUGGGGUUAAGCCACUUAGCUAUGGAGGCAAGUGAAUGCGCAACAAGGGAUCUCUAACCUUCAAACCGUUUAGGGGAGAAUACUCUAUGAUAUGAUUUAGAAUCUCUGGCCAGAGUAUGAAUGAGAUUUAGGAAAGUCGUUCCAUAUCACAUUCAAGGUAAUCAUAUAAGCACACGAAUCACAUUGGAUAGUAGACAUGAAUAAACUAUCAAACCAAACAAUGUGGUCAAGAGUAUUGUAUUAGAGAAAGACCGUAUUGCAUUCGUAAUCCUAAACUGAAUAGGUUCUCUACCUCUUCUGAUUAGCUUGGGUAACCAUGAUAUGCUGCUAGGUGUCACUCUUGGUUUGUGGAAGCCCUAAACGUGUAA